GACGAACGCUGGCGGCGUGCUUAACACAUGCAAGUCGAACGGAAAGGCCCUGCUUUUGUGGGGUGCUCGAGUGGCGAACGGGUGAGUAACACGUGAGUAACCUGCCCUUGACUUUGGGAUAACUUCAGGAAACUGGGGCUAAUACCGGAUAGGAGCUCCUGCUGCAUGGUGGGGGUUGGAAAGUUUCGGCGGUUGGGGAUGGACUCGCGGCUUAUCAGCUUGUUGGUGGGGUAGUGGCUUACCAAGGCUUUGACGGGUAGCCGGCCUGAGAGGGUGACCGGCCACAUUGGGACUGAGGUACGGCCCAGACUCCUACGGGAGGCAGAAGUGGGGAAUAUUGCACAAUGGGCGGAAGCCUGAUGCAGCAACGCCGCGUGCGGGAUGACGGCCUUCGGGUUGUAAACCGCUUUCGCCGGUGACGAAGCGUGAGUGACGGUAAUGGGUAAAGAAGCACCGGCUAACUACGUG
This 468-nucleotide ribosomal RNA is filed under the name uncultured bacterium. RNAcentral's name for it is "partial 16S ribosomal RNA". It matches the Rfam family "Bacterial small subunit ribosomal RNA", at positions 28 to 507 of the family's 1533-position model. The record is from RNAcentral.